RNAcentral lists this transfer RNA (74 nucleotides) under Spirochaetia bacterium. Its description in RNAcentral is "tRNA-Arg". It matches the Rfam family "tRNA". Rfam says of the family: Transfer RNA (tRNA) molecules are approximately 80 nucleotides in length. The record is from RNAcentral. Lineage: Bacteria; Pseudomonadati; Spirochaetota; Spirochaetia.
GAACCUAUAGCUCAAUUGGAUAGAGCAGUUGCCUUCUAAGCAACAGGUUGGGAGUUCAAUCCUCUCUGGGUUCA